ACGCAAAUAGUGAUAACACAUUUUAGCGGAGUGAUGAGUGCUGGAUAAAUUGCUAGCGGCGGACGGGUGCGUAACACGUGGGUAACCUGCCCCUAUCACUGGGAUAACACACUGAAAAGUGUGCUAAUACCAGAUAAUAUAAGCUUUUGGCAUCAUUAGCUUAUCAAAGAAUUUCGGAUAGGGAUGGGCCCGCGUCUGAUUAGCUAGUUGGUGAGGUAACGGCUCACCAAGGCAACGAUCAGUAGCCGACCUGAGAGGGUGAUCGGCCACACUGGAACUGAGACACGGUCCAGACUCCUACGGGAGGCAGCAGUGGGGAAUAUUGCACAAUGGGCGAAAGCCUGAUGCAGCAACGCCGCGUGAGCGAUGAAGGCCUUCGGGUCGUAAAGCUCUGUCCUAUGGGAAGAUAAUGACGGUACCAUAGGAGGAAGCCCCGGCUAACUACGUGCCAGCAGCCGCGGUAAUACGUAGGGGGCAAGCGUUAUCCGGAAUUACUGGGCGUAAAGGGUGCGUAGGCGGUUUAUCAAGUCAGGGGUGAAAGGCUACGGCUCAACCGUAGUGAGCCUCUGAAACUGGUGAACUUGAGUGUAGGAGAGGAAAGUGGAAUUCCCAGUGUAGCGGUGAAAUGCGUAGAUAUUGGGAGGAACACCAGUGGCGAAGGCGACUUUCUGGACUACAACUGACGCUGAGGCACGAAAGCGUGG
This 704-nucleotide ribosomal RNA is filed under the name uncultured bacterium. Its description in RNAcentral is "bacterial SSU rRNA". It matches the Rfam family "Bacterial small subunit ribosomal RNA", at positions 33 to 764 of the family's 1533-position model. The record is from RNAcentral.